This is a long non-coding RNA of Oncorhynchus nerka (sockeye salmon), 335 nucleotides long. RefSeq lists it as uncharacterized. The record is from RefSeq and is a predicted model, not a curated record. NCBI's taxonomy places the organism in Eukaryota, Metazoa, Chordata, Actinopteri, Salmoniformes, Salmonidae. The transcript has 2 exons.
UUGUAUACAGGUAUGACCAUGAGAUUGUAUACAGGUAUGACCAUGAGAUUGUAUACAGGUAUGACCAUGAGAUUGUAUACAGGUAUGACCAUGAGAUUGUAUACAGGUAUGACCAUGAGAUUGUAUACAGGUAUGACCAUAAAACAUUGUAUACAGGUAUGACCAUGAGAUUGUAUACAGGUAUGACCAUAAAAGAUUGUAUACAGGUAUGACCAUAAAAGAUUGUAUACAGGUAUGACCAUAAAAGAUUGUAUACAGGUAUGACCGUGAGAUUGUAUACAGGUAUGACCAUGAGAUUGAAUACAGGUAUGACCAUGAGAUUGUAUACAGGUAUG